RNAcentral lists this ribosomal RNA (253 nucleotides) under uncultured bacterium. RNAcentral's name for it is "partial 16S ribosomal RNA". It matches the Rfam family "Bacterial small subunit ribosomal RNA", at positions 524 to 776 of the family's 1533-position model. The record is from RNAcentral.
UACGUAGGUGGCAAGCGUUAUCCGGAAUUACUGGGCGUAAAGAGAGUGUAGGUGGCUAGGUAAGUCACAUGUGAAAGCCCACGGCUCAACCGUGGAACUGCAUGUGAUACUGCUUGGCUAGAGUAUAUGAGAGGUAAGCGGAAUUCCUAGUGUAGCGGUAGAAUGCGUAGAGAUUAGGAGGAACACCAGAGGCGAAGGCGGCUUACUGGCAUAACACUGACACUGAGACUCGAAAGCGUGGGGAGCAAACAGG